Molecule: transfer RNA, 72 nt
Filed under: Camelus bactrianus (Bactrian camel)
Lineage: Eukaryota; Metazoa; Chordata; Mammalia; Artiodactyla; Camelidae
Also listed under: 1 other name
Rfam family: tRNA
About the family: Transfer RNA (tRNA) molecules are approximately 80 nucleotides in length. Their secondary structure includes four short double-helical elements and three loops (D, anti-codon, and T loops).
Source: Rfam by way of RNAcentral
GAGGGUAUAGCUCGGUAGUAGAGUGCAUGCCUAGCAUGCACGAGGUCCUGGGUUCAACCCCCAGUACUGCCA